GCGUAUUUUCGAAAUCUCGACGUAAGGAAGCAAAUUUGAAACCAGUAAAUUAGGACGUAUCGAAUGAAUAAUCUGUUUUGAUGUAAUUAUAAACUUUUAGGCCCACCGCCAACAUCAACGAUAUUGGAGGUGGAGAAGGCGGUGGAGAGGGCAGGCCGUCGAGAGAAUUAAACCAGAACAAAAACCAGCAAUCCUUGUCACAUUAGCAAGGCGGUGGAGAAGGCAGGCCGUCGAGAGAAUAAACACGAGGGGUGUUGGAGUAUGAUGACUCAAGUGUAGCGAGGCCACGCAAUCAGUACUUGGUUCGCUUCCCUGGGAAACCAAGCCAACGAAGAUAAGAACAGGAAGCUUUAUAAUUCACCCAGUUGGAACAAUGUCAAUGCCCACAAGCGGAGCCAAUAGAUUUGUACCUUAUCCCUUUUAAAAAAAAAAUUUGACCCCUUUAUCCCUUCCAAUUUUCCAAUCCUGCCCUCCCCUUUCUCACGCUAUCAGUCUCGCCACUUUUCUCAGAACCCAGUCCACACCAGAUCUGAAAGAAGCCAUCCUUCCUUCCAGCGAUCUCUCUUGUUCUCCAGGUCGCGUUCUCUCGGCUCGACGUCCUUCCUCUGGUAAGCUUCUCUUGUCUAAAAUUUCAUUAUUUAUUUGUUUGGGUUUUUAAAUUUGGGGAGGGGAGAAUCUGAGUGAAAGAGGGGUGGGAAGAGCAAAGGGAUGAGGUUUGCAGUGAGUGCAAAAGCUGAGGCUCACAGGUGGGCCUACUGGGUGCCUCGCCGAGGAACCGGAGGUCGCGGAGGUGGUCGGAGAAUGAGACUUGAGAAGAGAAAGUCUUGGGCUUGGUGGAGGAGGUUGUGAAGCCAAGAAAAAGGCGGUCCAAGAAGGAAAAGCUGGACUUGGUUCUCAGUUUGCCAUCCCCAAGUACAUUAUCAAUCAAUGAUGAGUAUCAGGGUAAUCUUGAUCGAAUCGGGCAGCUCAUGACUGAUCUGAUUAUGUGGAGAGAUGUUGAAAGGUCGAGCAUUUGGUUUGGUUUAGGGUCGCUCUUCUUCCUUUCCUCUUGCUUUGCCAAAGGAAUCAACUUUAGGUGACUACUAGUCUACUGCUACUCUCAUUCACUUUUCCCACAUUUUCCCUAUUUUAAUUUUAGCUUAUAAAAAAACAUCUGAUCUUAACCAAUUCAAUCAUUUCAUCAUUUUCUCAAGAUUUCCCAAAUCGGACUUUUGAUUUUGGGUGCUUCAUUUGUCUCCAAUUCAAUCUAUCAAAGGUCCUUGUUGUUUCCCUUUCGGCCACUAUUUUCUUUGUUUCAGGGGGGCUUCAUUUGUAUCCAAUGCUCAUUCUUUUAUUUCAGCUUAAUUCAGGAGAGCCAUCCAUGACCCUCAAGGUAGCUCCGUUCUUUCUUAUGGGAGUAGAGUGUGGGCAUCUUAUAACAUUUUGGAGGCUAUGUAUGCUUGGUAUGCCCAACUUCUAAUCAGCCGACUCUGUUGUUGAUUAUUUUCCGUUGCUUUACUUGUUUCGUGUUAUAAUGAUGAUCAUGGUGCUAACUCUUUGACCCCAUUGUCUUAAAUUUCUAGCUCUAUACACAGUUAAAUGCAGAAACUCUCUCGUUUCUCUCUCAUCUCUCUUUCUGAUAUUUCAUUUCUUCUUGCUAUUUUGUUAAGAGCUCCAACUAGUACGAGCGCAAGCUCAUAGUCUAGCUCUUUGACUUGU
Molecule: long non-coding RNA, 1698 nt
Organism: Malus domestica (apple)
Lineage: Eukaryota; Viridiplantae; Streptophyta; Magnoliopsida; Rosales; Rosaceae
Source: RefSeq, a predicted model, not a curated record